UGUUAAGCUAUCACUUUGUAUGUACAUAAUGUGAUUUACUUUUCUCUUUUAGGUGUUUAUUGAUUCAUUGGAGUACCUGAGUACCAAAGCUGAUGGUGAUUCGGACAGUAUUCACCUUUCUAGUCUUUCUGUGGAUAUUUCAUCCCCAGAUUUACUUGGAAGCAUUCAUGAAAGCUUCAGUCCAACUCCUGAACAGAAACUACUGAUUGUUCUCAGCAACUGUGAGUAUUUGGCACACCACACCUUCAAGAAUUUAGCGGAACAUUUUGAGAUGCAUGCUUUCCAAGGCACAGAGAAAAUUGCUCAGGUACAGUAAUC
Long non-coding RNA from Rhincodon typus (whale shark), 318 nucleotides. RefSeq lists it as uncharacterized. The record is from RefSeq and is a predicted model, not a curated record. The transcript is spliced from 3 exons. Lineage: Eukaryota; Metazoa; Chordata; Chondrichthyes; Orectolobiformes; Rhincodontidae.